GUGAGAUUGCAAAAUUUAGUUUUUUGUUGACAUUGGUGUUGGGACUAAAUUGCAAAUCGAAGAAUACUUCAGUCCAUCUUGGACAACAAUAUCCGCAACAACAAUGAUUACAGGUCAGUGUAAUGCUGCUAGUUACUUAAUAUUGAAAGUGUUUCCAGUAACUAUACACUUAAAAGAAGCG
Long non-coding RNA from Drosophila albomicans, 181 nucleotides. RefSeq lists it as uncharacterized. The transcript is spliced from 3 exons. Lineage: Eukaryota; Metazoa; Arthropoda; Insecta; Diptera; Drosophilidae. The record is from RefSeq and is a predicted model, not a curated record.